AUUGAACGCUGGCGGCAGGCCUAACACAUGCAAGUCGAACGGUAACGGGCAGAAGCUUGCUUCUUUGCUGACGAGUGGCGGACGGGUGAGUGAUGUCUGGGAAACUGCCUGAUGGUGGGGGAUAACUACUGGAACCGGUAGCUAAUACGGCAUAACGUCGCAAGACGAGAGAGGGGGAGCUUCUGGCCUCUUGCAUGCGGAUGUGCCCUGUUGGGAUUAGCUAGUGGUUGGGGUCACGGCUCACCUAGGCGACGAUCCCUAGCUGGUCUGAGAGGGUGACCAGCCACCUUGGAGCUGAGACGCCGACCCGACUACUACGGGAGGCAGCAGUCUGGAAUAUGGGACAACGGUCGCAAGCCUGAUGCAGCCGUGCCGCGUGUAUGGAGAAGGCCUUCGGGUUGGAAAGUACUUUCAGCGGGGAGGAAGGGAGUAAAGCUAAUACCAUUCCUCAGUGACGUUACCCGCAGAAGAAGCACCGGCUAACUCCGUG
This 490-nucleotide ribosomal RNA is filed under the name uncultured bacterium. RNAcentral describes it as "partial 16S ribosomal RNA". It matches the Rfam family "Bacterial small subunit ribosomal RNA", at positions 30 to 507 of the family's 1533-position model. The record is from RNAcentral.